GAUGAAGAACGCAGCGAAAUGCGAUACGUAAUGUGAAUUGCAGAAUUCAGUGAAUCAUCGAGUCUUUGAACGCACAUUGCGCCCCCUGGUAUUCCGGGGGGCAUGCCUGUCCGAGCGUCAUUGCUGCCCUCAAGCACGGCUUGUGUGUUGGGCCUCCGUCCUCCUCCCGGGGGACGGGCCCGAAAGGCAGCGGCGGCACCGCGUCCGGUCCUCGAGCGUAUGGGGCUUCGUCACCCGCUCUUGUAGGCCCGGCCGGCGCUUGCCGACACAUCAAUCUUUUUUCCAGGUUACCUCGGAUCAGGUAGGGAUACCCGCUGAACUUAAGCAUAUCAAUAAGCGGAGGA
RNAcentral lists this unclassified non-coding RNA (344 nucleotides) under soil metagenome. RNAcentral describes it as "partial contains 5.8S ribosomal RNA, internal transcribed spacer 2, and large subunit ribosomal RNA". The stretch from base 1 to 120 matches the Rfam family "5.8S ribosomal RNA", at positions 35 to 154 of the family's 154-position model. The record is from RNAcentral.